AUGGACGAAAGUCUGAUGGAGCAACGCCGCGUGAGUGAUGAAGGUUUUCGGAUCGUAAAACUCUGUUGUAAGGGAAGAACAAGUGCGUUAGGUAAUGAACGCACCUUGACGGUACCUUAUUAGAAAGCCACGGCUAACUACGUGCCAGCAGCCGCGGUAAUACGUAGGUGGCAAGCGUUGUCCGGAUUUAUUGGGCGUAAAGCGCGCGCAGGUGGUUUCUUAAGUCUGAUGUGAAAGCCCACGGCUCAACCGUGGAGGGUCAUUGGAAACUGGGGAACUUGAGUGCAGAAGAGGAUAGUGGAAUUCCAAGUGUAGCGGUGAAAUGCGUAGAGAUUUGGAGGAACACCAGUGGCGAAGGCGACUGUCUGGUCUGUAACUGACACUGAGGCGCGAAAGCGUGGGGAGCAAACAGGAUUAGAUACCCUGGUAGUCCACGCCGUAAACGAUGAGUGCUAAGUGUNAGGGGGUUUCCGCCCCUUAGUGCUGCAGCUANCGCAUGAAGCACUCCGCCUGGGGAGUACGACCGC
RNAcentral lists this ribosomal RNA (527 nucleotides) under bacterium T-2-0-7B. RNAcentral's name for it is "bacterial SSU rRNA". It matches the Rfam family "Bacterial small subunit ribosomal RNA", at positions 371 to 889 of the family's 1533-position model. The record is from RNAcentral.